CCUACGGGCGGCAGCAGUGGGGAAUAUUGGACAAUGGGGGGAACCCUGAUCCAGCCAUGCCGCGUGUGUGAAGAAGGCCCUCGGGUUGUAAAGCACUUUCAGUGAGGAAGAACGCCUGGUGGUUAAUACCCAUCAGGAAAGACAUCACUCACAGAAGAAGCACCGGCUAACUCCGUGCCAGCAGCCGCGGUAAUACGGAGGGUGCGAGCGUUAAUCGGAAUUACUGGGCGUAAAGCGCGUGUAGGUGGCUUGAUAAGCCGGUUGUGAAAGCCCCGGGCUCAACCUGGGAACGGCAUCCGGAACUGUCAAGCUAGAGUGCAGGAGAGGAAGGUAGAAUUCCCGGUGUAGCGGUGAAAUGCGUAGAGAUCGGGAGGAAUACCAGUGGCGAAGGCGGCCUUCUGGACUGACACUGACACUGAGGUGCGAAAGCGUGGGUAGCAAACAGGAUUAGAUACCCCGGUAGUC
This 465-nucleotide ribosomal RNA is filed under the name Vreelandella stevensii. RNAcentral describes it as "partial 16S ribosomal RNA". It matches the Rfam family "Bacterial small subunit ribosomal RNA", at positions 338 to 795 of the family's 1533-position model. The record is from RNAcentral. Lineage: Bacteria; Pseudomonadati; Pseudomonadota; Gammaproteobacteria; Oceanospirillales; Halomonadaceae.